RNAcentral lists this transfer RNA (56 nucleotides) under Ligilactobacillus apodemi DSM 16634 = JCM 16172. Its description in RNAcentral is "Lactobacillus apodemi DSM 16634 = JCM 16172 tRNA". It matches the Rfam family "tRNA", at positions 18 to 71 of the family's 71-position model. From Rfam's summary of the family: Transfer RNA (tRNA) molecules are approximately 80 nucleotides in length. Their secondary structure includes four short double-helical elements and three loops (D, anti-codon, and T loops). The record is from Rfam by way of RNAcentral. Lineage: Bacteria; Bacillati; Bacillota; Bacilli; Lactobacillales; Lactobacillaceae.
GUUAUCACGCCUGCCUGUCACGCAGGAGAUCACCGGUUCAAAUCCGGUUAGGACCG